RNAcentral lists this ribosomal RNA (169 nucleotides) under uncultured rumen bacterium. RNAcentral describes it as "partial 16S ribosomal RNA". It matches the Rfam family "Bacterial small subunit ribosomal RNA", at positions 341 to 524 of the family's 1533-position model. The record is from RNAcentral.
ACGGGAGGCAGCAGUGGGGGAUAUUGGGCAAUGGGCGAAAGCCUGACCCAGCAACGCCGCGUGAAGGAAGAAGGUCUUCGGAUUGUAAACUUCUUUUAUGAGGGACGAAGGACGUGACGGUACCUCAUGAAUAAGCCACGGCUAACUACGUGCCAGCAGCCGCGGUAAU